UUUGGGGUGGCUCAGUGGCAGAGUACAUGCCUGAGGAGAAGGAGGACCUGAGUUCAAAUCUCCAGCACUCAAG
This 73-nucleotide transfer RNA is filed under the name Mus musculus (house mouse). RNAcentral's name for it is "tRNA-Leu". The record is from RNAcentral. Lineage: Eukaryota; Metazoa; Chordata; Mammalia; Rodentia; Muridae.